RNAcentral lists this ribosomal RNA (446 nucleotides) under uncultured bacterium. RNAcentral describes it as "partial 16S ribosomal RNA". It matches the Rfam family "Bacterial small subunit ribosomal RNA", at positions 338 to 795 of the family's 1533-position model. The record is from RNAcentral.
CCUACGGGAGGCAGCAGUAGGGAAUUUUCGGCAAUGGGGGCAACCCUGACCGAGCAACGCCGCGUGAACGAAGAAGUUAUUCGUAAUGUAAAGUUCUUUUAACAGGGAAGAAAGAGGAAUUUGACGUUACCUGAAGAAUAAGCUCCAGCUAACUACGUGCCAGCAGCCGCGGUAAUACGUAGGGAGCGAGCGUUAUCCGGAAUUAUUGGGGGUAAGGGGUGAGUUGAUGGAUUAGUAAGUCUUUUGUAAAAAUGCUGGGCUAAACCCAGUAGGGCAAAAGAUACUGGAAAGCUAGAGUAUGACAGAGGGGAGUGGAACUACAGGUGUAGCGGUAAAAUGCGUAAAUAUCUGUAAGAACACCAGUGGCGAAGGCGGCUUGCUGGGUCGAUACUGACAUUGAGGCACGAAAGCGUGGGGAGCAAACAGGAUUAGAUACCCGUGUAGUC